AUGUGAGCUGAAACAAGUCACUCAGUUCCGUAAGGUUUUUCGGUCAGGUUCAUUGCCCGUGGUAUUAUAUGAAGUUGACUAAUUCACCAGGCUGUAUACUUGCUAUCCACUCAGCACUGAAGAAUUGCCGUAAGGGGCCACUACUACACACUACCACUGUGGAUCUCUGGCAGUUAAUUGCACCAGGCUUCCAGAAGAAGGAAUGGCCUAGAUUAAAGGCAUACAAGAUCUGGAUUAAAGGUGCGAGUCAUACAGCUUCAAGAUCCUGAUCAAAAUCAUGUGUCACCCUACCUCAAGAUCCAGUCUUGCCUGUGUCUUUGACCCUCAAGAUCUGGAUCAAAGGCAUGCUAUCUUCUUGCCGCGGGAUCUGGAUCACAGAUGGACAUUUGUAGAAAUAAGUCACGAGAAGAUGCAAGGAUGAUGUGGGAGAAAAACUCUGACCCCAACCUGGAGAAUAAUCUAAGCAGCAGAGUAGGAAGCCAACACUGAGGGGAACAAGAGAACAAUCUGUGGAGAGAAGAGCUGGGUAAUGAGAACGCAGGAACAGGAAACCCCAGGAUUCCACAGAAAUCCACCUGCCUAAGAGCUUACUUCAGCCCGCUUCUCUUGCUUAUUCUUCAACUCAGGAAUAUUUGGUUUUUCAGUUACUAUGGAGGCAUGAAAAAAAGUGAACAUCCUGAUACAAAAUAAAAAAUAACUUACUUAAAUGGGAAGAAGAUGAGAAAAAUCAUAUUUGCUUUUUAUUAUAAACUAUAAUUUUUCACG
This 765-nucleotide long non-coding RNA is filed under the name Mus musculus (house mouse). Its description in RNAcentral is "predicted gene 45587". The record is from RNAcentral. Lineage: Eukaryota; Metazoa; Chordata; Mammalia; Rodentia; Muridae.